Molecule: long non-coding RNA, 773 nt
Organism: Apis dorsata (giant honeybee)
Lineage: Eukaryota; Metazoa; Arthropoda; Insecta; Hymenoptera; Apidae
Exons: 2
Source: RefSeq, a predicted model, not a curated record
GCAACUCCGCGAUCGAUUAUCGAUUCAGACAAAUCGAUUCAGACAGUCGAAACGACGGAACGUGAUUCCGCCAUUAACGUGACUCGACUCGUCUCGUCUCGUGAUAUUCUUUGCGAAACUUUGUGACGUAAAACGUAGUGAAAAACGCAGAAAUAUUCUCUCUUUUUAUCGAAUUUAAAGCUCAAAUUGUUUUUUAACUAUUUGUUUGAAAAGUGCAGACGUUCGACGUUUUCGGUAUAACUUUUAUUCGGAAAACAAUAAAGUUUGAAGUUGUGGUGUACUUGAGUAAAUUCCAAUAAUUAGGGGACUGAUUCUUAAACUUUGCCAAUUUAUCACGAUGGGAAUUCUUCCCGUGAAUGGUGAAACUUUGGACUGAUAUUUUUACCUAUAUUCAAGCAUCGCAAUAUCCAGUGCCCUUUCAAUGCAUCGAUUGUCGUGAAAAGUUAGAAAAAUGAAUAACCAUUUAAAAGAAAUCAUCGAAAAAGGGAACGAUAUUCUUCUUUCAAGUUGAAGAAAACACGAGAGAAACCGUGUACAAUAAUAAUAAGAAUUAAGAAGAGGCGAAAAAGAGUCCUGUCUACGGUCACGGACACCCAACAGCAAUUAAAAGCAAUUCUUCUUGGCAGUAUAUCACUCUUACGUGCACUACUGCCGCGGAUCCCCAUUAAAAUCGACCUUCGACUCCACCCGCGAGCAACAACGGUAUCUCCUGUUGUUCCUCUUGUUUUCAAAGGGUACGCUCGAGCAGGGAAGAUCGAGAGGAACUCGAAAGG